GUGGUUAAACUCUACUGCGGUGACGAUACUGUAGGGGAGGUCCUGCGGGCGGUGGAAACUACCAAACUGGAGUACGGUAGGGGCAGAGGGAAUUUCCGGUGGAGCGGUGAAAUGCGUAGAGAUCGGAAAGAACACCAACGGCGAAAGCACUCUGCUGGGCCGACACUGACACUGAGAGACGAAAGCUAGGGGAGCGAAUGGGAUUAGAUACCCCAGUAAGCUUCAUCAUCGACAAGAAAACAACUCUGAUCACCA
RNAcentral lists this ribosomal RNA (255 nucleotides) under Olea europaea subsp. europaea. RNAcentral's name for it is "SSU_rRNA_microsporidia". It matches the Rfam family "Bacterial small subunit ribosomal RNA", at positions 575 to 830 of the family's 1533-position model. Lineage: Eukaryota; Viridiplantae; Streptophyta; Magnoliopsida; Lamiales; Oleaceae. The record is from RNAcentral.